GCGGCAGAGGGGGCUUCCAGGGGAAGAGAAUGGCUUGGCCAGGGAGGGGCGGGUCCUCCUCAGGGCUGGGUCCUCCGUGGGGCCAGGCACCCCCAGCCCAGCGCAUGGGGAGCAGCCGGGAGAAGGGACCAUCCCCAUGAAUGGCUGAGCCCAGGAGGGUGUCCAGCCCAGGCCCAGCACACCUGGGGGCAGGCGGCCAGCCUUUCUGGUCUUUGACCCUGAAAGCUGCAGCUCCCAGCCCAUCAGCUUGAUCUUCUCCCCAAAACCAUUCUCUGGGUUACUUGGUCUGGGCUGCCAGGCUGCCGGGACAGCCCCCUCUCCUGGGAGUUGCACCGCCACCCACCCAAAAGCAGUAAGGGUCCCCCACAGGGGGUAGAGUGGGCUGGGGGCACCUUCUCUGCAGGUUCCAGGCCUGGGAUUCUGGAAGGGGAUUUAAAGGGGCACCAGUGGAGCCUGGAUCGCAGCCGGAGAGACGGCAGAAUGCGUACUGGCUGUAGGAGAUGCAGCGGCCGGAACAGGAACAAGGGAGGGGCUCUCGGGCCUGGGCACCUGUCAGCCGGAUGGGGCAGGGCCGACCAGGAUAUCUGGCCGUGGCUGCCCCUCUGGAGGAGCGAAGAAGAGGGAAGAGAGGACAAGUGGUUCUGGAGGACUUCCUGGAGGAGGUGGGGUAGAGAUUUGCAUAGUCAACAAAGGAGGAAGCUUUCAAGAACACUGUGGGAGGCUUGGUGGGCGUCUCUCUGCCAUGAUGGACCCCGCGACGCAUACAUAGCUGUGUUUGAAGCUAAUGUAGCGACUCACCUGAAGUGGGGUCCUUCCGGAAUGUGAAGUCUCCACCAGGUGGACCUUCUGACCGCACCUCCACCCUCAUACUGGCAGGGCGGGCACUGGGAAGGCCUGGGCAGUUCCCAUGCCCUCUGCCUGGCAAAGACACUUGCCUCUUUAUGGAAGCAGAUGCAGAAAGACCGCACAAGCUCUCUGAGCAAUUUCCAGCUGGUGGCUUCUAAAGAGAACAUGACACCGCCCGCAUCUGCCUGCCCAGACGCUGAGUUAUCACCGGCGGAAUAAACCACAUCCAAAUUGUGCCUGUAGCCGAGUCCUGUGGGAGGAUCCCCGGUGCAGACACGGUCCAACAAGACAAGAUUCCUUGGGGGCCUCGGGGCCGGUGUUUCCCCCCACGGCGGAUGAGGGCCUCUGUGGCCUGUGGGCAAUGGAGGCAAUGCCCCAAAGGGAGCUGGCUCCUUCCACCCUCUCGUUCCUCUGUGCCGGUCACAUCCAAGAAAACGUCUUCUUAGUGACAGCCCAUCUCCAGCACCUGUCUGACACUCGCCAGUGUCCCUUUACAAACAAGGAAAGAGCAGGUCUAAGGCUCAGGGGCCCUUCGCAGGCAGCAGUGUUUGGCUAAAAUCAAAUACCACUUUCUCUUUUACCUAUUUUUUAUGGUAACCUCUCUAUGGUAAUGACACAGAUUUACCUUUUAAAAACUAAACUCACUCUUUUAGUAAAAUACAUAAAUUGCUCAGAGGAACAAAAUGUGUAAAUAAUGGUUUCAAGGAAUAAAAUCCAAAAUGAAGUUUGGAAACACCAAGUCUGACCCUGCUUCUGACAUUUGAAAUGCUUUCACAGCAUCACCGUCAGAAGAUCGGCUAGUUCUGCUCACACACCUCCCGUGACGGGGAGCUCACUACCUACAAAAGGCAUCUCCAUUCGGCUCUCCUGGGAAAUGCUGCUCCCAGCAGCUUCCACACUGAGCCCGGGUCUGCAGGGCAGCUCAAUUCCCUGUCCUCAUGGGGAAAUCUUCAUGGAGCGGGCACCCGUCCACUCCCAGCAGCCUCCUCUGCCAGGCAGAACGGCCGACUCCCCAGCAGUUCCUCAUCCUCUUGGAGGGAACUUCUCCAACCAGGAACAACAGUUGCUGGUUUUCUACUCUUAAAGGGUAGUGCCAGGAGCGGAGACCAGUCUUCUAGGAGUAACUGGACCUCGCCCCAGCUUCCAGGAGUGGAGGCAUGGAGGCGGCCGGGAGCCCUGCAGACAUCACCAGGGACUCCCAGGACCAGAUGUGAGUGGGCAAAAGCCCAGCACCGAAGGAAGAGCAUUUCACAAAUAACUGUGUGAACGGGACAUUCUCCCAUAAGCCCCAGCACCUCCUUCUCUGGCUCUGGCUCCCCACCCCCGCACAGGAAGAGGCCAGCCUCUUGCAUCUCCUUUGUGGUUCCACGGGCUUUACCAGGCUCAGGUCACACUGGUCAUUUCUCCCUCACCCAACUUAUCUCAGGAUUCAAAUACACAAACGCACACACACACACACACACACACACACACACACACGGUUGA
Molecule: long non-coding RNA, 2331 nt
Organism: Balaenoptera acutorostrata (minke whale)
Lineage: Eukaryota; Metazoa; Chordata; Mammalia; Artiodactyla; Balaenopteridae
Exons: 6
Source: RefSeq, a predicted model, not a curated record